Molecule: ribosomal RNA, 497 nt
Filed under: uncultured bacterium
Lineage: Bacteria
Description: partial 16S ribosomal RNA
Rfam family: Bacterial small subunit ribosomal RNA
Source: RNAcentral
GAUGAACGCUGGCGGCGUGCCUAAUACAUGCAAGUCGAGCGAACAGACGAGGAGCUUGCUCCUCUGACGUUAGCGGCGGACGGGUGAGUAACACGUGGAUAACCUACCUAUAAGACUGGGAUAACUUCGGGAAACCGGAGCUAAUACCGGAUAAUAUAUUGAACCGCAUGGUUCAAUAGCGAAAGACGGUUUUGCUGUCACUUAUAGAUGGAUCCGCGCCGCAUUAGCUAGUUGGUAAGGUAACGGCUUACCAAGGCAACGAUGCGUAGCCGACCUGAGAGGGUGAUCGGCCACACUGGAACGGAGACACGGUCCAGACUCCUACGGGAGGCAGCAGUAGGGAAUCUUCCGCAAUGGGCGAAAGCCUGACGGAGCAACGCCGCGUGAGUGAUGAAGGUCUUCGGAUCGUAAAACUCUGUUAUUAGGGAAGAACAAAUGUGUAAGUAACUAUGCACGUCUUGACGGUACCUAAUCAGAAAGCCACGGCUAACUACGUG